CACGGCUGGAUUAACGUGUGUAAGAGGAAACUGUAGCUCAGUUCUGUGUGAACUUGUGCAGCUGGACGUGUGGACCGCGGUUCGGUAACUGAGGGGCGAAGCUGCUAGAAUGUUUAUAUCUGAACGCAUUGUGCUGUUAUAGUCCUUCCAAAGUACCUCUGUAGUUGGUACAGGGGGUUAAUACCUCAGUCUGAGGGUAAAUGUGACUGUAAAGUCGGUUACUGAGCGGUAUUGUUUAGCUUAUAUCCGAAUAGCCUCAGGUUAGCUCUGAGCUAAUACGUUAAAAAGACGCGAAGGUUCAAAAUGUAAACAAAAUCUACCAGUGGCACUCUUGUGUUGAUGAGGAAUCCCUGAAAGUGGCUGAAUAGCUUUUACCAUGCUGACUCAUCACAGGAGAACUCUGCGGAGUUAAUUAAUCGGAUUGAUAAACAUCACAGUAUUACACAAAGGUGUACAAAGCAGAGACCAAAAUGGCAUUCUGGAGGAUGAAUCUGAGUUAGGUGGAUGUCAGAGCAAUAUUACUGUUGGCUGCCACAGUGCCAACUGUAAAGGAGGAAACCGGAGCUCCUGGAGGAAACCCACACAGACACGGGGAGAACAUGCAAACUCCACACAGGAAGGACCCGGACCGCCCCAGCUGGAAAUCAAACCCAGGACCUUCUUGCUGUGAGGCUACCCACUGAGCCACCAUGCCGCCCCUCACAGACAGUGGAGAGGCUUAAUUCAAAUUGAGAGUGGAGCUACAGACCUUUUUCUCACCCGAGUGGUACAGAGUGAGACUGCUGAGCUGAGGCACACUCACCCUCAGUGAGUAUGCUCUAAUUCUGUUUAAAACGUGGAUAUAUACUCAUAUUAUUAAAAUCACAAACAACAGAACUAUUACACAUUAAAAAUUAUAGAUGGAAAAUGUUUUGCAUCAAUAGGGAGUCGUACUGGCUUCAGAAUUG
Molecule: long non-coding RNA, 947 nt
Organism: Trichomycterus rosablanca
Lineage: Eukaryota; Metazoa; Chordata; Actinopteri; Siluriformes; Trichomycteridae
Exons: 6
Source: RefSeq, a predicted model, not a curated record